Molecule: non-coding RNA, 115 nt
Filed under: Amycolatopsis mediterranei
Lineage: Bacteria; Bacillati; Actinomycetota; Actinomycetes; Pseudonocardiales; Pseudonocardiaceae
Also listed under: 1 other name
Description: SAM-IV sequence
Rfam family: SAM (S-adenosyl methionine) riboswitch aptamer
About the family: SAM-IV is a mRNA element that regulates gene expression via direct sensing of S-adenosylmethionine (SAM or AdoMet). SAM-IV riboswitches share conserved nucleotide positions with the previously described SAM-I riboswitches sequence analysis and molecular recognition experiments suggest that SAM-I and SAM-IV riboswitches share similar ligand binding sites, but have different scaffolds.
Source: RNAcentral
GGUCAUGAGUGCCAGCGCGAAGCCCCGGCUUGCUGGCCGGCAACCCUCCUACCGCGGUGGGGUGCCCCGGGUGAAGACCGGGCCGGUCGCGCCGUGCGACGGGCAAGCGCGGGCC